RNAcentral lists this transfer RNA (88 nucleotides) under Naumovozyma castellii. RNAcentral's name for it is "tRNA-Pro". It matches the Rfam family "tRNA". From Rfam's summary of the family: Transfer RNA (tRNA) molecules are approximately 80 nucleotides in length. Their secondary structure includes four short double-helical elements and three loops (D, anti-codon, and T loops). Lineage: Eukaryota; Fungi; Ascomycota; Saccharomycetes; Saccharomycetales; Saccharomycetaceae. The record is from RNAcentral.
GGGAGUGUGGUCUAGUGGUAUGAUACCCGCUUUGGGAAUUUCUUCUCGAACAUGCGGGUGGCCCGGGGUUCAAUUCCCCGCUCUCCCC